This 90-nucleotide microRNA precursor is filed under the name Lepisosteus oculatus (spotted gar). RNAcentral's name for it is "microRNA 29a-1 (ENSLOCG00000020589.1)". The stretch from base 13 to 80 matches the Rfam family "mir-29 microRNA precursor family". From Rfam's summary of the family: This family represents the microRNA (miRNA) precursors mir-29. Animal miRNAs are transcribed as ~70nt precursors and subsequently processed by the Dicer enzyme to give a ~22nt product. Lineage: Eukaryota; Metazoa; Chordata; Actinopteri; Semionotiformes; Lepisosteidae. The record is from RNAcentral.
ACCCCUUUUGAAGGAUGACUGAUUUCCUCUGGUGUUCAGAGUCCACAAUGUUUUCUAGCACCAUUUGAAAUCGGUUAUAAUGACAGGGGA